AGGACGAACGCUGGCGGCGUGCUUAACACAUGCAAGUCGAGCGGAAAGGCCAUUUCGGUGGUACUCGAGCGGCGAACGGGUGAGUAACACGUGAGUAAUCUGCCCCUGGCUUUGGGAUAGCCACCGGAAACGGUGAUUAAUACCGGAUAUGACCCGCCCUCGCAUGGGGGUGUGUGGAAAGUUUUUCGGCCAGGGAUGUGCUCGCGGCCUAUCAGCUUGAUGGUGGGGUAAUGGCUCACCAUGGCUUCGGACGGGUAGCCGGCCUGAGAGGGUGACCGGUCACACUGGGACUGAGACACGGCCCAGACUCC
This 311-nucleotide ribosomal RNA is filed under the name uncultured soil bacterium. RNAcentral describes it as "bacterial SSU rRNA". It matches the Rfam family "Bacterial small subunit ribosomal RNA", at positions 26 to 339 of the family's 1533-position model. The record is from RNAcentral.